AUGACUGUACUUUUAUAGAAUCUCUAUUUAUGUACUCUCCAAAUUUGACUAAUUCAAAUUUGAUAUCAACACAACCUGUGAUGACGAAUUGAAGCAAGAUUGGAUUUUUGUGAGAAGAUCAACGUCUUUUUUUGCUCCGGCAAAUACGUUGUGGCGAAGAAACAGCGUCUUGGCAUGUUCUGCCUUGAUGCAACCAAUCCUGCACUUUGAACAGG
Molecule: small nucleolar RNA, 215 nt
Filed under: Fragilariopsis cylindrus CCMP1102
Lineage: Eukaryota; Bacillariophyta; Bacillariophyceae; Bacillariales; Bacillariaceae
Description: Small nucleolar RNA U3
Rfam family: Small nucleolar RNA U3
About the family: Small nucleolar RNAs (snoRNAs) are involved in the processing and modification of rRNA in the nucleolus. There are two main classes of snoRNAs: the box C/D class, and the box H/ACA class.
Source: Rfam by way of RNAcentral